Long non-coding RNA from Sinocyclocheilus rhinocerous, 366 nucleotides. RefSeq lists it as uncharacterized. Lineage: Eukaryota; Metazoa; Chordata; Actinopteri; Cypriniformes; Cyprinidae. The transcript has 3 exons. The record is from RefSeq and is a predicted model, not a curated record.
CGCUCUGAGCGGGAGGCGGAUCGAACUAUUCCACCUGCGCUGAGGGGAGACACACAUUCUCAUGCAGGUCUCCAAGUCCUUUCAUUGAUUGCGUGAUAAUAUUUUUUAAUUCGCGUGUUUUCCGUUUUGUUUUUAAAUCUGAGAGUUUUUAGAGUGGUCUCUGAGUGAGUAGAUAUGCAGAAGGGAGUGAAGAUGAAGAUGACAUCUGAUCAGACCACAGAUGAUUUUAUUCCAGGGGACAUAGUGUUUGCUAAAAUGAAGGGUUAUCCUUUCUGGCCUGCCAGGAUUGGUGAAGGAAAAUCCCCCCAAAAUAAGAUCCCCAUCUUCUUUUAUGGAACACACUCCACGUGAGUAAACUGGAAACAC